GAUGAACGCUAGCUACAGGCUUAACACAUGCAAGUCGAGGGGCAGCAUGGUCUUAGCUUGCUAAGGCCGAUGGCGACCGGCGCACGGGUGAGUAACACGUAUCCAACCUGCCGUCUACUCUUGGACAGCCUUCUGAAAGGAAGAUUAAUACAAGACUGGCAUCAUGAGUCCGCAUGUUCACAUGAUUAAAGGUAUUCCGGUAGACGAUGGGGAUGCGUUCCAUUAGAUAGUAGGCGGGGUAACGGCCCACCUAGUCUUCGACGGAUAGGGGUUCUGAGAGGAAGGUCCCCCACAUUGGAACUGAGACACGGUCCAA
RNAcentral lists this ribosomal RNA (316 nucleotides) under uncultured bacterium. RNAcentral describes it as "bacterial SSU rRNA". It matches the Rfam family "Bacterial small subunit ribosomal RNA", at positions 28 to 334 of the family's 1533-position model. The record is from RNAcentral.